This 355-nucleotide ribosomal RNA is filed under the name uncultured Bacillus sp. RNAcentral's name for it is "bacterial SSU rRNA". It matches the Rfam family "Bacterial small subunit ribosomal RNA", at positions 8 to 353 of the family's 1533-position model. The record is from RNAcentral. Lineage: Bacteria; Bacillati; Bacillota; Bacilli; Caryophanales; Bacillaceae.
AGAGUUUGAUCCUGGCUCAGGACGAACGCUGGCGGCGUGCCUAAUACAUGCAAGUCGAGCGGACAGAUGGGAACUUGCUUCCUGAAGUCAGCGGCGGACGGGUGAGUAACACGUGGGCAACCUGCCUGUAAGACUGGGAUAACUCCGGGAAACCGGGGCUAAUACCGGAUAAUUCUUUCCCUCACAUGAGGGAAAGCUGAAAGAUGGUUUCGGCUAUCACUUACAGAUGGGCCCGCGGCGCAUUAGCUAGUUGGUGAGGUAACGGCUCACCAAGGCAACGAUGCGUAGCCGACCUGAGAGGGUGAUCGGCCACACUGGGACUGAGACACGGCCCAGACUCCUACGGGAGGCAGCA